GACGAACGCUGGCGGCGUGCUUAACACAUGCAAGUCGAACGGAAAGGCCCUGCUUUUGUGGGGUGCUCGAGUGGCGAACGGGUGAGUAACACGUGAGUAACCUGCCCUUGACUUUGGGAUAACUUCAGGAAACUGGGGCUAAUACCGGAUAGGAGCUCCUGCUGCAUGGUGGGGGUUGGAAAGUUUCGGCGGUUGGGGAUGGACUCGCGGCUUAUCAGCUUGUUGGUGGGGUAGUGGCUUACCAAGGCUUUGACGGGUAGCCGGCCUGAGAGGGUGACCGGACACAUUGGGACUGAGAUACGGCCCAGACUCCUACGGGAGGCAGAAGUGGGGAAUAUUGCACAAUGGGCGGAAGCCUGGUGCAGCAACGCCGCGUGCGGGAUGACGGCCUUCGGGUUGUAAACCGCUUUCGCCUGUGACGAAGCGUGAGUGACGGUAAUGGGUAAAGAAGCACCGGCUAACUACGUG
RNAcentral lists this ribosomal RNA (468 nucleotides) under uncultured bacterium. Its description in RNAcentral is "partial 16S ribosomal RNA". It matches the Rfam family "Bacterial small subunit ribosomal RNA", at positions 28 to 507 of the family's 1533-position model. The record is from RNAcentral.